AUUGAACGCUGGCGGCAGGCCUAACACAUGCAAGUCGAGCGAGCGGCGGACGGGUGAGUAAUGUAUGGGGACUGCCCGAUAGAGGGGGAUAACUACUGGAAACGGUGGCUAAUACCGCAUACUAUCGGAUAACCCAUAUGGGAUUAGCUAGUAGGUGGGGUAAAGGCUCACCUAGGCGACGAUCUCUCGCUGGUCUGAGAGGAUGAUCAGCAACACGGGGACUGAGCAACGGCCCAGAGUCCGACGGAGGCGGCAGUAGGGAAUCUUCGGCAAAGGACGAAAGUCUGAUGCAGCGACGCCGAGUGGGGGAUUAAGGCUUUCGGGUUGUAAACCUCUUUCGCUAUCGAACGGGUAGGUGGAGAAGAAGCGCCGGCUAACUACGUGCCAGCAGCCGCGGUAAUAC
This 403-nucleotide ribosomal RNA is filed under the name uncultured bacterium. RNAcentral's name for it is "partial 16S ribosomal RNA". It matches the Rfam family "Bacterial small subunit ribosomal RNA", at positions 30 to 526 of the family's 1533-position model. The record is from RNAcentral.